AUGAAUUAAUUCCUCCCACUGUCAGCUAGAAGCCAUCCCUGGCUGAGCCCUGCACUGGCCAGAGGCAACUGAGUGUGAGCCAGUCCAGGGUCAGAUCCUGGGCUGAUGCCACCUGAGGGCGGGGUGGGGGCGUGGCCUCCGUGCACAUGGGAGACUCCAGGUGCAGGAGAGGGGGAGGUGGACUUCCUCUUGGUCUUCCCAAGCCAUGAAACUUCCUGGCUUGGUGGUAACAGAAGAGUCUCCUCCAGGACGGACUAGCCAGUCCUAACACAGGACUAGCGUUGCUCUACCACGUCCAAGCCUCCUCUGAGAUUCUUCCUCCAUGCAACCACUUCCCCUGGGGCGUGGCCACCUCCCUGGAAGCCGCCAGCAUGCUCGGCUGGGCCCCCGCACUCUGGAGGCUUGAGAAUCUCUCUAUUUUUGAAUGACGUCCUUAUCCUCUGCCCCCAGGCUGUUCCCUUGAAGAAUCCACCUUCCUGCAGGGUUGGGGGAGCGCAGAAUGGGAGGAAGAUACAAAUACCAAUUUUAUAGCAAGAAUGCAAAAAGAGGCCAGCGCGGUGGCUCGAGCCUGGAAUCCCAGCACUUUGGA
RNAcentral lists this long non-coding RNA (589 nucleotides) under Homo sapiens (human). Its description in RNAcentral is "non-protein coding lnc-PRLH-1:2". The record is from RNAcentral. Lineage: Eukaryota; Metazoa; Chordata; Mammalia; Primates; Hominidae.